This 253-nucleotide ribosomal RNA is filed under the name uncultured bacterium. Its description in RNAcentral is "partial 16S ribosomal RNA". It matches the Rfam family "Bacterial small subunit ribosomal RNA", at positions 524 to 776 of the family's 1533-position model. The record is from RNAcentral.
UACGUAGGUGGCAAGCGUUGUCCGGAAUUAUUGGGCGUAAAGCGCGCGCAGGCGGUCCUUUAAGUCUGAUGUGAAAGCCCACGGCUCAACCGUGGAGGGUCAUUGGAAACUGGGGGACUUGAGUACAGAAGAGAAGAGUGGAAUUCCACGUGUAGCGGUGAAAUGCGUAGAGAUGUGGAGGAACACCAGUGGCGAAGGCGGUUGCCUGGAGCUUUGCUGACGCUGAGGCGCGAAAGCGUGGGGAGCGAUCCGG